Molecule: long non-coding RNA, 1350 nt
Filed under: Papio anubis (olive baboon)
Lineage: Eukaryota; Metazoa; Chordata; Mammalia; Primates; Cercopithecidae
Description: lncRNA (ENSPANG00000037415.1)
Source: RNAcentral
CACACACAGGCCUAUCAUGGGGAGGGAGGGAGGGAUUACAUUGGGAGUUAUACCUGAUGUAAAUGACGAGUUGAUGGGUGCUGACGAGUUGAUGGGUGCAGCACAGCAACAUGGCACAAGUAUACAUAUGUAACAAACCUGCACGUCAUGCCCAUGUACCCUAGAACUUAAAGUAUAAUAAUAAUAAAAAAAAAAGUGUCUGCCUAAAGGAUCUAUAUUUAUAUUAUGACUUCAGCAGCAGAAACAGGUGGCUGGCCUUUUUAUCCUCCUAACUUGAAUCUUUUUUCAAAUGUGCAUAUCUUUAUCACAUUUCUGAUUAUUAAAAAUAUAUAAUAAGUUUAUGGAAAAAUUGGAAAAGAAUAAGAAAUUAUCAAAACAAAAGUAAGAAGCACAAUCUAAAUUAUUACCUCCUUUUCUAAUUCACCCCAUUCCCUCCAAUCUGGUUUCAAGGAUUGAACUGCAAGAGAAAUGAUGGCUAUUGGUGGCUGAGGGGAGAUUGGAUGGAGGAGACUGCCACUUUUCUUUUCUUAUAGCUUAGAAAAGGAUAAGUAAUCCUCCCUUUCAGCACAACCACAAAAAAAGUAACAAUGGUUAAUACAACUUUGGGAAAAUGCAGCCCCUCCCUGGUAAUCAGAGAAAGACAAAUUCCGACCACAGGGAGAAGGGGCCACUUUUGACCUCUGGAAUUAGCAAAGACAAAAAUGAGUGACAGGGCCUGGUGUGGUGGGGGGUGGGAGGUUGGUAAGCCGGUCCACUUCUGCAGCGCUGCUGGUGGGAGGGGAAAGUGGGGACCAGAGAUGGGGGAAUGACAUAAUCCUCACGUGAUCAGGAGCUGACGUGAACCAAAGUCCUUAUAUUCCCGGGCUUCUUUCUCCUCUGGGUACCAGCUCCUUUCUGCCCUGCAGACAAGCGUGCCGUGCGUGCUUGUGGCCAAGGGAAGGAAGAGGUCCCAGGGUCUGUGUUCACACACAUCUGGGGGAAAGAAAAAGAGCAGGAAACUACCCCGCACAGGUCAGUAUGACAGAGGCACUUAGACUGAGAUCUCUGAGGGUAGGAGUCGGGAAGGGCAAAAGCUAGGCGAAAUUUGCGGCUUCGCAGUACAUCUCCUUUUCUGCUCCCCCUCUCCCGCCCAUUGGAGAGGCCAUUAGCCUUGUCUGCUGGGGAAAUGGUGGGUUCCUGAAGUGGGAGGGGAGAAAACGGGGAGACGAGAGGGUGGAGGGAGCUGUGGCUGACUUAUGAGGUCUGGACCUGUGGGGUAGGGAUGGGAAAGUAUCUUGCCUCAGAGAGAAACUGACAAUCCUGUUUCAAAAGUAACGAAGCAAUUUAUCUCUACAUUUUCUCUCUAGAGUU